Molecule: ribosomal RNA, 492 nt
Filed under: uncultured bacterium
Lineage: Bacteria
Description: partial 16S ribosomal RNA
Rfam family: Bacterial small subunit ribosomal RNA
Source: RNAcentral
AGUGAACGCUGGCGGUAGGCCUAACACAUGCAAGUCGAACGGCAGCACAGUAAGAGCUUGCUCUUACGGGUGGCGAGUGGCGGACGGGUGAGGAAUACAUCGGAAUCUACUUUUUCGUGGGGGACAACGUAGGGAAACAUACGCUAAUACCGCAUACGACCUACGGGUGAAAGCAGGGGAUCUUCGGACCUUGCGCGACUGAAUGAGCCGAUGUCGGAUUAGCUAGUUGGCGGGGUAAAGGCCCACCAAGGCGACGCUCCGUAGCUGGUCUGAGAGGAUGAUCAGCCACACUGGAACUGAGACACGGUCCAGACUCCUACGGGAGGCAGCAGUGGGGAAUAUUGGACAAUGGGCGCAAGCCUGAUCCAGCCAUACCGCGUGGGUGAAGAAGGCCUUCGGGUUGUAAAGCCCUUUUGUUGGGAAAGAAAAGCAGCAGGUUAAUACCCCGCUGUUCUGACGGUACCCAAAGAAUAAGCACCGGCUAACUUCGUG